UACGUAGGUGGCAAGCGUUGUCCGGAUUUACUGGGCGUAAAGAGCGCGCAGGCGGUCGUUCAAGUCGCGUGUGAAAGCCCCCGGCUCAACUGGGGAGGGUCACGCGAUACUGAUCGACUCGAAGGCAGGAGAGGGUAGUGGAAUUCCCGGUGUAGUGGUGAAAUUCGUAGAUAUCGGGAGGAACACCUGUGGCGAAGGCGGCCAUCUGGACGUUCACUGACGCUGAGACGCGAAAGCGUGGGUAGCAAACAGG
Molecule: ribosomal RNA, 253 nt
Filed under: uncultured bacterium
Lineage: Bacteria
Description: partial 16S ribosomal RNA
Rfam family: Bacterial small subunit ribosomal RNA
Source: RNAcentral